Long non-coding RNA from Bombina bombina (fire-bellied toad), 916 nucleotides. RefSeq lists it as uncharacterized. The transcript is spliced from 3 exons. The record is from RefSeq and is a predicted model, not a curated record. NCBI's taxonomy places the organism in Eukaryota, Metazoa, Chordata, Amphibia, Anura, Bombinatoridae.
GUCUGAGGUUGGAAGGAAUGGAAAAGGGUAAGACCCCAGGAAUGGAGAAAUCACAAAGAGAUAAAAUUACUUAUGCGAAAGAGAAAGGAGGUAAAGGUUUGACAGAUAUUGCAAUGUUCUUGGAGAAAACGAUUUGGGGACUAUGACUCUGAAGGCACCUGGAAGACUUUGAAAUUGAAGAAAUGGAUUUUAUUAUUAUUUUGUUCACUGUUUUAUUUUUAUUGAAGUUUAAGGGUUUCAUUAUAAUGCUUAAGGUAGGGAAAGGGGUAUGGUUCAGGGAUUGUUAGGUUUUAUUGUAAGGGUUUAGUGGGAUGGUGAAGGUUAGUUUUGAGAUUAAGGUUUGAGGAGCAUUUUUGAGGGUUAAAGGGACACUGUACCCAAAUUUCUUUUGUAAUUCAGAAAGAGCAUGCAAUUUUAAGCAACUUUCUAAUUUACUCCUAGUAUCAAUUUUUCUUCGUUCUCUUGCUAUCAUUAUUGAAAACAAGGCAUCUAAGUUUUUUUUUUGUUUCAGUACUCUGGACAGCACUUUUUUAUUGGUGGAUGAAUUUAUCCACCAAUCAGCAAGGACAACCCAGGUUGUUCACCAAAAAUGGGCCGGCAUUUAAACUUACAUUCUUGCAUUUCAAAUAAAGAUACCAAGAGAAUGAAGCAAAUUUGAUAAUAGGAGUAAAUUAGAAAGUUGCUUAAAAUUUCAUGCUCAAUCUGAAUCACGAAAGAAAAAUUUUCGGUACAGUGUCCCUUUAAUGUAGGGUGACUUUAGGAGUUUGGUAUUUUCUUUUUAUAUUUUGUUUUAUCUAUUUUUUUUUAAAUAUAUAUUCUUAUUAUUUUUGUUUUUGAUUUAUGUGAGUUUGUGGUUUUCAUUUUCUGUAUAUGUAUAUAUUGUUAUUUUUCAAAUAAAAGUAUAAAUGAAAAUGUC